AAAAGUUGGGGGCAUGCCUUACACAUGCAAGUCGAACGAACCCUUCGGGGUUAGUGGCGCACGGGUGCGUAACGCGUGGGAAUCUGCCCUUGGGUAGGGAAUAACAGUUAGAAAUGACCGCUAAUACCGGAUGAAGUCUUCGGACCAAAGAUUUAUCGCCCAGGGAUGAGCCCGCGUAGGAUUAGGUAGUUGGUGGGGUAAAGGCCUACCAAGCCGACGAUCCUUAGCUGGUCUGAGAGGAUGAUCAGCCACACUGGGACUGAGACACGGCCCAGACUCCUACGGGAGGCAGCAGUGGGGAAUAUUGGACAAUGGGGGAAACCCUGAUCCAGCAAUGCCGCGAGAGUGAUGAAGGCCUUCGGGUCGUAAAGCUCUUUUACCAGGGAUGAUAAUGACAGUACCUGGAGAAUAAGCUCCGGCUAACUCCGUGCCAGCAGCCGCGGGUAAUAAUCUAUUUC
This 458-nucleotide ribosomal RNA is filed under the name uncultured Novosphingobium sp. RNAcentral's name for it is "bacterial SSU rRNA". It matches the Rfam family "Bacterial small subunit ribosomal RNA", at positions 32 to 533 of the family's 1533-position model. Lineage: Bacteria; Pseudomonadati; Pseudomonadota; Alphaproteobacteria; Sphingomonadales; Sphingomonadaceae. The record is from RNAcentral.